GAUAAACGCUGGCGGCGCACAUAAGACAUGCAAGUCGAACGGACUUAACUCUUGCUUGCAAGAGAGCGGUUAGUGGCGGACUGGUGAGUAACACGUAAGAAAUCUGCCUAUCAGAGGGGAAUAACAGUGAGAAAUCAUUGCUAAUACCGCAUAUGCCAUAGGAAUCGCAUGAUUCUAGUGGGAAAGGAGCAAUCCGCUGAUAGAUGAGCUUGCGUCUGAUUAGCUAGUUGGUGGGGUAACGGCCUACCAAGGCAACGAUCAGUAGCCGGACUGAGAGGUUGAACGGCCACAUUGGGACUGAGAUACGGCCCAG
Molecule: ribosomal RNA, 313 nt
Filed under: uncultured bacterium
Lineage: Bacteria
Description: bacterial SSU rRNA
Rfam family: Bacterial small subunit ribosomal RNA
Source: RNAcentral